CCUACGGGAGGCAGCAGUGGGGAAUAUUGCACAAUGGGGGAAACCCUGAUGCAGCGACGCCGCGUGAGUGAAGAAGUAUUUCGGUAUGUAAAGCUCUAUCAGCAGGGAAGAAAAUGACGGUACCUGAUUAAGAAGCCACGGCUAACUACGUGCCAGCAGCCGCGGUAAUACGUAGGGGGCAAGCGUUAUCCGGAUUUACUGGGUGUAACGGGAGCUUAGACGGCAGCACAAGUCUGGCGUGAAAUGCCGGGGCUUAACCCCGGAACUGCUUUGGAAACUGUGCAGCGAGAGUGCGGGAGAGGUAAGUGGAAUUCCUAGUGUAGGGGUGAAAUGCGUAGAUAUUAGGAGGAACACCAGUGGCGAAGGCGGCUUACUGGACUGUAACUGACGUUGAGGCUCGAAAGCGUGGGGAGCAAACAGGAUUAGAUACCCCAGUAGUC
RNAcentral lists this ribosomal RNA (440 nucleotides) under uncultured bacterium. RNAcentral's name for it is "partial 16S ribosomal RNA". It matches the Rfam family "Bacterial small subunit ribosomal RNA", at positions 338 to 795 of the family's 1533-position model. The record is from RNAcentral.